Molecule: long non-coding RNA, 516 nt
Organism: Malaclemys terrapin pileata
Lineage: Eukaryota; Metazoa; Chordata; Testudines; Emydidae
Exons: 2
Source: RefSeq, a predicted model, not a curated record
CUCCCGGCUUCCCGCAAAUCAGCUGUUAGUGUGGGAAGCCUGGGAAGGAAGCAGCAGCUUCCUGCAGAAGAAACUUAUGACAAGGAUGAGAUUUGGAAUACUGUGGGGCUAGCUAAAAGGCUGCAAGUGGCAGAUUGGCAUGAUGAACAAAUAACUCCCUCCAAACACCUAAUCUUCUUCAAGGGACUGGCAUCUCCCAAAGCCUGUGUGCGCUGCAAAUCCUGCUAAUAGUCUCCACUAUCUCACCCUUGCAUGCGGUGGACUGUAGAAAAUGAAGUCAGAGAACCAAGUCGCUAUAAUGGGAGUGUGGCUCUGUAAAUUAGGGCUUGUCUACAUUACUCGCUGGAUUGACGGUCUCCUGCCUGUAGUGUCAAUUUAUAUCCAGAAAUGUAGUCUCUAGUUGCUACCACAUUAAGUAGCAGCAAUAUGUUGUAGAGUGACUACAAUAAAUUGCCUUUGGUCUAAACUCUAUUAUUUUCUAACACAUGUUAAAUAUAAACUCUCUUGCAUCUGAAA